This 440-nucleotide ribosomal RNA is filed under the name uncultured bacterium. RNAcentral describes it as "partial 16S ribosomal RNA". It matches the Rfam family "Bacterial small subunit ribosomal RNA", at positions 338 to 795 of the family's 1533-position model. The record is from RNAcentral.
CCUACGGGUGGCAGCAGUAGGGAAUAUUGCUCAAUGGGGGAAACCCUGAAGCAGCAACGCCGCGUGGAGGAUGAAGGUUCUCGGAUUGUAAACUCCUUUUGUUAGAGAAGAUAAUGACGGUAUCUAACGAAUAAGCACCGGCUAACUCCGUGCCAGCAGCCGCGGUAAUACGGAGGGUGCAAGCGUUACUCGGAAUCACUGGGCGUAAAGGGUGCGCAGGCGGGCUUGUAAGUCAGAUGUGAAAUCCUGUAGGUUAACUACAGAACUGCAUUUGAAACUAUGAGUCUAGAGUGUGGGAGAGGUAGGUGGAAUUCUUGGUGUAGGGGUAAAAUCCGUAGAUAUCAAGAAGAAUACUCAUUGCGAAGGCGACCUACUGGAACAUUACUGACGCUCAUGCACGAACGCGUGGGGAGCGAACAGGAUUAGAUACCCUUGUAGUC